Molecule: ribosomal RNA, 463 nt
Filed under: uncultured bacterium
Lineage: Bacteria
Description: SSU rRNA
Rfam family: Bacterial small subunit ribosomal RNA
Source: RNAcentral
AGGAUUAACGCUGGCGGCGUGCCUAACACAUGCAAGUCGAACGAGGUAGCAAUACCUAGUGGCAGACGGGUGAGUAACGCGUGGUCAACCUACCGUUGAGUGGGGGAUAACUAGCCGAAAGGUUAGCUAAUACCGCAUACGAGUCUCGGGGGCAUCCCUGGGUCUUAAAAGGAGCAAUCCGCUCGAUGACGGGACCGCGUCCCAUUAGCUAGAUGGUGGGGUAAUGGCCUACCAUGGCUCCGAUGGGUAGCUGGUUUGAGAGAGCGACCAGCCACACUGGGACUGAGAAACGGCCCAGACUCCUACGGGAGGCAGCAGUGAGGAAUUUUCCGCAAUGGGCGAAAGCCUGACGGAGCGACGCCGCGUGUGGGAAGAAGGCCUUCGGGUCGUAAACCACUGUCGAAGGGGACGAUAAUGACGGUACCCUUGGAGGAAGCCCGGCUAACUACGCGCCAGCAGCCGC